Molecule: long non-coding RNA, 701 nt
Organism: Coccinella septempunctata (seven-spotted ladybird)
Lineage: Eukaryota; Metazoa; Arthropoda; Insecta; Coleoptera; Coccinellidae
Exons: 2
Source: RefSeq, a predicted model, not a curated record
ACCAAUUGUUGAAUGUACAGUAAUGAAUAAUGUAGGUCGACUUCAAUAUGAGUGAUACUCAAGUUGGGUCUAGCUGGGUGGGUGUCUACAUUUGGACUUUUAUGGAAUAAUAUAGAUAAACAGCACAAACAGGUUGAAGGGAUGAUUGGAAGAUUUCAGUUAGAAAAUUUCAAGUUGAAUAAUGCCUAAAAACAGAUAAAGUAUAUGAUUUACACAAAAAUGAGUUUUUAAACCACGAUACGAGUUUAGCUAUCACAAUUCACAAUAGUAGGUAUCUUCAGGUGGGUGAAGUUUCAGUUUCAGUUAAACUUCGGGUUUGAUGAAAUUCAAAUACUAUCGCAACUCUGGAUGUGAAGUGGUAUUGCCUUCAUUUUAUGUAACAUUCCAGGUCUCUUCUGGCAGCCCAUUCUGUGAAAUUUUCCAGACAAUCUAUGGGGACCAUUUACUAUUUGGAACUUUUUUUGGAGUACCAUGAAUCUGUUUUUUGAACUUCGCGGAAAAUGUUCAAACUUGAGCACUUUUCCAAUAUUGUGUUUCACUGUUGGAAGGCCAAGAUGCUGGUGGAGGCGAAAUUGCUGGAUCGAUGGAUUUGAGAUGAAGUGGUGAAUUGACAUAAACACUGAAGAAACUAGAUAAAUUCAGAAUCAGGGACUUGUCUUGUUACAAUUUAUUAUUGGAAUUAAAGAAAGUUGAAUUCUUUA